RNAcentral lists this long non-coding RNA (494 nucleotides) under Homo sapiens (human). Its description in RNAcentral is "MSC antisense RNA 1". Lineage: Eukaryota; Metazoa; Chordata; Mammalia; Primates; Hominidae. The record is from RNAcentral.
AAUAAGAUGCAGCGAAGUCCAGAAUCUGUGAAAUCAUUUUGGCCCAAAUGAGUCUUUUGUGUCCUUUGUUCAUGGAGAUUGGGUGAAGCAAGGUGCACCUGUUUCAAUAGUAAAGCAGCCCCACUGAGGAAAGGACUUUUUGAGUUGUGUCAUUAGAAGUCAUCAUUGCAUAUGUGAGAGAAGAGAGGAAGGAAAGGGCAGGAUGCAGUCACAUAACAGGAUCAUGGAAUUCUAAAAUUGGAAGAAAUAUGUUUCUAGUCAUCUAGUAUAGCUUCCAAUCCAUAGGAUGAAUCCUCAUGGCUAAUGAAAGCCUGGAAGAACAUUAGAACCACCAUGAGGAGGCUGCUGGGAUGCAAUGGUGUGGCGUGAUCUCGGCUCACUGCAACUAAUUUGGAGCAUCUUUCUAAGACUUUGCAUGUAAAUGUGACUGGAUGGCCAUCUGUCAGGAAAAGACUAGAAGAAUUGAAUUGGAAAAGCGAAAAAAAUAAAAGUGG